This 67-nucleotide transfer RNA is filed under the name Oecleopsis sinicus. RNAcentral describes it as "tRNA-Gln". The record is from RNAcentral. Lineage: Eukaryota; Metazoa; Arthropoda; Insecta; Hemiptera; Cixiidae.
UAUAUUGAGUUGUAUUGCAUAAGGAAUUUUGAAUUCUUUGGAAGUAAUUAAGUUUUACUCUUUAUAA